AGCAGAUCUGACAAACAAUUUGUAGAGGAUACUGAACAGAUUGACAUGUUCAAAUUCAGUUGAAGUUCAGGCCUAUAAAUCUUGUCUGCUGGAAACGUGCAGUUUGUUUGGAGUUCAUGGAAAAGGUUAGACAUGUGGAAAGUUGCAACGGUUUUGAAUUUAGAAAUCAGUUGAUCCAAUCCUUAUUGAAGUUUAUCGCGUUCUUGUAUGUUAACUCCAGUUGAGACUUUUGAUCUGUAUUUCAUGUCUAGUAAUUUCUAUUACAGGCUGAUGUUCUGGAAUAUUAUGAUUAGACUGUGAACUCUUGUCAAUGGAUCAUUCUAUAUACCUGAUGUUUUAAGGGUAAUUUGUUGUUAAA
This is a long non-coding RNA of Helianthus annuus (common sunflower), 358 nucleotides long. RefSeq lists it as uncharacterized. The transcript has 2 exons. NCBI's taxonomy places the organism in Eukaryota, Viridiplantae, Streptophyta, Magnoliopsida, Asterales, Asteraceae. The record is from RefSeq and is a predicted model, not a curated record.